RNAcentral lists this ribosomal RNA (78 nucleotides) under Pogona vitticeps (central bearded dragon). Lineage: Eukaryota; Metazoa; Chordata; Lepidosauria; Squamata; Agamidae. The record is from RNAcentral.
UUCUGGAAGCAAAGCAGGAUUUGGUCUGGUUAGUACUUGUAUAGGGUACAGUGGGAGAAUAUCAGGGAUUUCCAGAUA